UGCGGUCGUGGCGGAAUUGGCAGACGCGCACGGUUCAGGUCCGUGUGGUAGCAAUACCGUGGAGGUUCGAGUCCUCUCGACCGCAUCC
This 88-nucleotide transfer RNA is filed under the name Saccharibacillus kuerlensis. Its description in RNAcentral is "tRNA-Leu". It matches the Rfam family "tRNA". From Rfam's summary of the family: Transfer RNA (tRNA) molecules are approximately 80 nucleotides in length. Their secondary structure includes four short double-helical elements and three loops (D, anti-codon, and T loops). Lineage: Bacteria; Bacillati; Bacillota; Bacilli; Caryophanales; Paenibacillaceae. The record is from RNAcentral. RNAcentral also lists the same sequence under 3 other names.